UCGGGAAUUUUGGGCAAUGGGCGAAAGCCUGACCCAGCAACGCCGCGUGAAGGAUGAAGUAUUUCGGUAUGUAAACUUCGAAAGAAUAGGAAGAAUAAAUGACGGUACUAUUUAUAAGGUCCGGCUAACUACGUGCCAGCAGCCGCGGUAAUACGUAGGGACCAAGCGUUGUUCGGAUUUACUGGGCGUAAAGGGCGCGUAGGCGGCAAUUCAAGUCAUCUGUGAAAUCUCCGGGCUUAACUCGGAACGGUUAGAUGAUACUGCUAUGCUAGAGUGCAGAAGGGGCAAUCGGAAUUCUUGGUGUAGCGGUGAAAUGCGUAGAUAUCAAGAGGAACACCUGAGGUGAAGACGGGUUGCUGGGCUGACACUGACGCUGAGGCGCGAAAGCCAGGGGAGCAAACGGGAUUAGAUACCCCCGUAGUCCCUGAGCGGGCUGGCAAGGCGCAU
RNAcentral lists this ribosomal RNA (447 nucleotides) under uncultured bacterium. Its description in RNAcentral is "bacterial SSU rRNA". It matches the Rfam family "Bacterial small subunit ribosomal RNA", at positions 355 to 825 of the family's 1533-position model. The record is from RNAcentral.